AGACCCGAAACCCGGUGAUCUAGCCAUGGGCAGGUUGAAGGUUGGGUAACACUAACUGGAGGACCGAACCGACUAAUGUUGAAAAAUUAGCGGAUGACCUGUGGCUGGGGGUGAAAGGCCAAUCAAACCGGGAGAUAGCUGGUUCUCCCCGAAAGCUAUUUAGGUAGCGCCUCGUGAAUUCAUCUCCGGGGGUAGAGCACUGUUUCGGCUAGGGGGCCAUCCCGGCUUACCAACCCGAUGCAAACUGCGAAUACCGGAGAAUGUUAUCACGGGAGACACACGGCGGGUGCUAACGUCCGUCGUGAAGAGGGAAACAACCCAGACCGCCAGCUAAGGUCCCAAAGUCAUGGUUAAGUGGGAAACGAUGUGGGAAGGCCCAGACAGCCAGGAUGUUGGCUUAGAAGCAGCCAUCAUUUAAAGAAAGCGUAAUAGCUCACUGGUCGAGUCGGCCUGCGCGGAAGAUGUAACGGGGCUAAACCAUGCACCGAAGCUGCGGCAGCGACACUCAGGUGUUGUUGGGUAGGGGAGCGUUCUGUAAGCCUGUGAAGGUGGCCUGUGAGGGUUGCUGGAGGUAUCAGAAGUGCGAAUGCUGACAUAAGUAACGAUAAAGCGGGUGAAAAGCCCGCUCGCCGGAAGACCAAGGGUUCCUGUCCAACGUUAAUCGGGGCAGGGUGAGUCGACCCCUAAGGCGAGGCCGAAAGGCGUAGUCGAUGGGAAACGGGUUAAUAUUCC
This 732-nucleotide ribosomal RNA is filed under the name Salmonella enterica subsp. enterica serovar Virchow. RNAcentral describes it as "partial 23S ribosomal RNA". It matches the Rfam family "Bacterial large subunit ribosomal RNA", at positions 711 to 1439 of the family's 2925-position model. Lineage: Bacteria; Pseudomonadati; Pseudomonadota; Gammaproteobacteria; Enterobacterales; Enterobacteriaceae. The record is from RNAcentral. RNAcentral also lists the same sequence under 1 other name.